RNAcentral lists this long non-coding RNA (5820 nucleotides) under Homo sapiens (human). RNAcentral's name for it is "HSALNT0395147". Lineage: Eukaryota; Metazoa; Chordata; Mammalia; Primates; Hominidae. The record is from RNAcentral.
CCUGUAAGAGCUGGGUAUCCUUUAUGAACUGGGCUAUCCUGUAUGAACUGGGGUAUCCUGUAUGAGCUGGGUAUUCUGUAUGAGCUGGGAUAUCCUUUAUGAGCUGGGGUAUCCUGUAUGAGCUGAGUAUCCUUUAUGAGCUGAGCUAUCCUGUAUGAACUGGGGUAUCCUGUAAGAGCUGGGUAUCCUUUAUGAACUGGGGUAUCCUGUAUGAGCUGGGUAUUCUGUAUAAGCUGUGAUAUCCCUUAUAAACUAGGGUAUCCUGUAUGAACUGGGGUAUCCUGUAUGAGCUGGGUAUCCUUUAUGAACUGGGGUAUCCUGUAUGAGCUGGGGUAUCCUGUAUGAGCUGGGUAUCCUUUAUGAACUGGGGUAUCCUGUAUGAGCUGGGGUAUCCUGCAUGAGCUGGAUAUCGGUUAUGAGCUGAGCUAUUUUGUAUGAACUGGGGUAUCCUGUAUGAGCUGGGGUAUCCUUUAUGAACUGGGGUAUCCUGUAUGAGCUAGGGUAUGCUGCAUGGGCCUGGUAUCCUGUAUGAGCUGGGGUACGCUGUGAGACCUGGGUACCCUGUAAGAUCUGGGGUGCCCUCUGCAAGCUAGGGUAACAAAUGGACCCGUGUGUGUUCUGAGGACUGUAGAGGUUUAUCCCUCUCAGGUAAAAAUCCACAGGAAUAUUCCAGCCCCACAAGUGGCUCUGCUCCAACGAAGUCAUUCAAGAAGCAGGCUCUGUCCAAGUUGUGAGAUCCUUUUUCUGUCUUUCCCUAUGGCAAUGUCUAUCUCUGCAUGGCCAGAAGUUUUCAUCAAGAAAGCAGGGAGAGGGUGUGGAUGAGACACAUCCAUAGGUUAAGAGCUAGGUGUGGCGGUGCAUCGGGCUUCCUCUCCCGUUCCACUGAGGAGUGCGUAGUCACCGACCACUCCCAGCUGUGGAAAGCAGGCACCGCAGUCCAGAUUUGUGAUUGGGAAGAAGGCAGGGCAGAUCUGAUGGAUCUCUAGCAGUUUCCCCUCAGUAACCAUCUCUCUAGUGCCUAAGAAAUGGUGCCUGAUGGUUCAUUCAUUGUAGCAUUAUUUUUAAUACUAGAUUUAUUUUAAAUUCAGACUGUGUUAUAUGUUAUAAUACCUUUAUUUUAUACUGGAAGCAAGCGUCAAUGUAGGAGAGUCUUGAAACCCAGCACCAGAUAGUGGUUGCUAAUCCCAGUCUUCCAUACAAGGAUCCCGGGUUCUGUGAAGAAAUGCUUAAUUCUGGGACUGGGAGGGGAGUAAACAAGAUGAGCCUGGAGCAGAAAGCAAGGAAGUGUCCAAACCAAGCCAAACCAAAACACCCAGGAUGCCGCCAUAAUGGGGACAUUUUAAAGGGACAUAGGAGGCAAUGGAAAGAACCCCCAGUGGCUAAAGCUAGAGCAAUUUGAGCAACAAAGUAAGAUAGCAUUGGAAAAUAACUCAAAGUAUAGAGCCAGCCUAUUCUGAUAGAAAUGACUGAGGAAAUAAAUAAUUGGAGGGAGAGUGACAAGUUUUCUGUGCAGACUUCCAAAUAACUUAUGUAGAUCCCCUGCCCUUGAAGAGGGGAAGCACAGCUCCCCACUUUGGCCACGUGGGCUGCUCAUAAUGACUUCUUCCAAAAGGUAUGGAAAGGGGUAAGGCAGUUUUACAGUGGAGAAACCUGGCAGACACUGCUUCAGCCAGGUCAUCACGUUUAACCAUGCUCGGUUACGUUGACCCGAUGCACCCUUGAUGGGAUGGGAUGAAAGCGCUCGACCUCCAUCACAGGUGCAGUCUCCACUCAACCCACUAUGAGAAAAACAUCAAACUCCAAUUCUUCAGUGUUCCUGCCGGUCCUCCUCAGAACAGCCAAGGUCAAGGUCAUUCAACACAGGAAAGUCUGAGAAUCCAUCACCACCAAGAGGAGUCUAAGGAGAACUGAGGAUUGAGGGCCAUGGGGUGUCCCGGCUGGGGUCCGGGGUAGAGACGGAUUUUAGGUAAAGACUAGAGAACCCCGAAUAAAGCGUGGGCUUCAGUGAAGCACUCCUGUGAGUCAGUACUGCUCUGUGAACUGGGGCGGAUGCACAGAGGAACACGAUCUAAUAAUGGGAAAAGAGGAGAUGGGGUGUGGGCUAUGUAGGAACUCUGUGCUAUCUUUACAAUUUUUCUACAAGUUCAUUAUUUUAAAAUUAAAAAUUUAGGAAGAAAAACAACAACAAAAACAUUCCCAGGGGAUUCCAUUGUCCAGUGGGCAUUAGAAUGUUGUUGUUGUUGUAAUUUGUUUAUUGUCACGUUAGCCAUUAUUUAUUAUUAUGUCACAUAUGUGAGACCACAAGGGCUGCUCCCCGCAUACCGGUGGCCCCCCCAGUUAGCUGCCUUGGGGAGGGGAGGAAGACCACCAGAGCCCAGGGUGGGGGCGAGGCGGCUCCCGGAGGCUCCCCUGCCCCUCCCAGUCCUCACCUCCUCCUCCCUGAGUGGCCUGGUGGGAUGGAAGGUGUCUGUGGCCGGCUGCCCAGAACACCAAGAAGGGCCCUCUUCCUCCUUGAACUUGAGCCAGCCCCUGGCGUCUUUCUCGGGGCCAGAGCUUUGCCUCUAAAUGGUCUUUGUUUGCAGACGAUCUGCUGUGCAGAUCAUGAACCGUCGCCGCAGUGCCAGACAGACUCUUCAUCCGGACCGGCCGUCCCACUGGGUCCCCUCAGGAAAGCGCAGAAGCCGGGGACCCCAAACCGCGUCCAGCUCCUCCCACCCGCCCUUCUCGGAGCCGCGCACUUGGUAACUUGCGUGUGAAGAACUCACGGCCGUGUUGCCAGGAAACUGCGGGGAGCAGCCUUUGUGGUCUCACAUAUGCGUAACAUAAUAAUAAAUAACGGUUAACGUGAUAAUAAAUAAACAAAUAACAAUAAUUAUAACGUGCCCCAAGCCUGUUGUUUCUCCAAAAUUAAUUUAUGAUGAAUUACGACUCGAAUUCCUCGGAACAUACCAGUGGGAAGAGGAGAGGGGGCUAUUUUAUUUGCCACUGGGCUCAGAGUAGGGUUAAGAACUGUCUUUCCCUGAGCCAGACCUUGUCCCAGGUCCCUGGUAACCCAGGGAAGGUCGCCAGAGAGGAAUUCUCUCUUUCCCUCUGCUUCUCACAUCUCCUCCUCUGCCUAGGACAGUGAAGUUUUUUAGAUACUUUACUUGCAUUUCUAAUUCAGUUAUUCUUCUGAAAUUUAUUCAAAGGAUUUAUGCUUAUGAAAUUAUAAUAUAAUGCUGCCUAUAUGCCAAUGAGCUGGAGGCAAAGAAAAUAAUUUUCUUCAAUUUACAGUUAUGAGGCUGGAGGAAAAUGAUGCCUUCUUAUCACCUCUUUCUCUUUGUAUGUCUCGGUAUUUUUUUAAGUCUUCAGAAGGCAGGAGCUGAUGAUGAAUUCUUAAGCAGAUCACACUGAUAAUUGUAUUUCAGAGCUGUCAGCGCUGGGAAGACUGGCCAGCGACUGUCUCCAUGCACUUGAGCUAUUUGUGUCGCUGCCUUCCUUCUCAGGAACUCAGCCCUCAAUAAAGCCAACUCGCUGGGGAUAUUGUUAAAUCGUCUGAGAGGAUUAUUAGAUCGAAGGGAAAUUUAUGGAUGACACUUUGUAACAAUUAAUCAGGAACUGUUGAUGAAGUUUAAGUUGGUUCUUUAUUCCUGGACCAAAAAAAUAUAUAUAUACGUAUAUAGAUGUGUGUGUAUAUAUAUAUAUACACACACACAUAUAUAAAAUCAUAAUAAUAUUCAGCCCUUGUUCCAAUUGUCAAAUGGCUCAUUUUGUCACUCUGUUUGAUUAAUGAACCUUUUGGAGUCCCCCAAAAGUCCUAGUAAUACAAAUAAAGAGAAUCAUAAAUAUUGAAUAAGCUCACAGCACAGUUAACCUUGACUACAUUUUGGGACAUACUUGGAGAAACUUUGCUAUACGGAAAAUAAAUUGCUGUGGGGAUUAAAAAAAUAUGCACACCCAUACCAAAUUGGAGAUUUUGGAGAAUGUCACCUCUCUGACCUUGUCACUCUUAAUAAUCUGUUGUGAUUAAUUAGUUUAGUUAGCUUUACAAUCAGGUCAGCAGAGCGCCGGCAUGCUGGCGUGUUUUACCGAUGGGUCCCUGCCCAGCCCAGAAAGGGAUGCGGGCUGGGGUGAGGGAGGGUCUGGAGCUAAUGGGGCUGGUGUUCUAACCUCACAAGGUACUAAACGAGGGUGAUGGGUGAGGACGAUUUCAGGUCGUAAUUUACGGAGCAGGGCCCUGGGUGGGGGCAGGGAGCCUUCAUUGUGUGUUGGUUCUUGUGUUGAGUGCACUCACCCUUCUCAGGCAAAGAUCCCCCCUCACCAGCUUGGAGCUUUUGCUGACACCCCUUCAAAGUUCUGAUUCCAGAUCUGACCAGUUAUUUGACCCAGAAAACAGAUUCUAACUAGGCUGUAAUGACUUGCAAUUUUUGAAUGUAGCAUCUAGUCCAGGGGUUAAGAUUCCAGGGUAAGAGAGAAGUGGAUUUGAGUUCUCCUCUGCCGUAUCAGAGCCGUGUGGCCCUGGGCGGUUGGCUUUGACUUUCCGAGUCUCGGUUUCCUUAUCUGUAAAAUGGAGUUUCUACAUCCUAGGAUUUUUACAAGGAUGAAGUGAAACAAUUCAAAGAAACAGCUUGGCCAAAUGUCCAGCAUGCAAUACUCUGCAGUGGGUAGGACUGUGUCGUCCUGCAAUAGAAGUUGAAGUCCUAACCCCUGAGACCUGUGAAGGUGACCACUAGGGUACGCCUUAAGCCAAUGACUGGUGUCCUUAUAUAAGAAUCUGGACACAGUCACGGGGAAGACAGCCACACAAAGCCAGAGGCAGAGAUCGGAAGAUGCAGCUGCAGGCCAAGGACGGCCAGAAUUCACGGAGCCGAAGCGCCGGAGAAGCCAGGAAGGAUCUUCCCACAGAGCCUUCGGAGGGGCGGGGCCCUGCCGACACCUGGGUUUUGGAUUUCUAGUCUCUAGGACUGUGAGAAUACAUUUCCGCCGCUUCCAGCCAUGUUUUCCGUCAUUUGUGAAGGCAGCCUUUGGAAACUGAUACGUGCUGUAGGGUCACUGUGAUCUGGUUUGCAGGGAACAAGUAAGGUGGGGCUGAGGACUUGGCCUGAUGUGCCUGGCACUCGGUUUCUUGCUCCCCCUGAAUAGUCCUGAUCAUGCCAGCUGCCGCCCCACGCAGGCUGAGCGCCGCGAAGGCCGGGAUGCCGCUUCUCGCGUAUGGGUGAGGAGCCGUGGUUCGUUCAGUUCAGCAGAGCGCCAUCGCCGCCCCUGAAGUCCAGCUCUUAGGAUCAGCGCUCAGAACCCCAGACUCUGUGACGUCGUUGUAGAUGCAAAGUUGUCUCUGGUACAGGCCAAAGUGAUUCAUUUCAUGACUUUCCCGCAGGUCAUUGCAGAUCGCCACCUUCUGCCAAAGGUUUUCACCGACUCUCUGGUCCGACGAGGAACGCUGCUGAGCCUGACUCUAGCAGGAGGAAUAUGAGCCACAAUUGUAUGAAAAUCUUUCCUGGACACCUUCGGAUAAGAUGAAAUAAACUUGGAGAAUGGCAUCUGUGUUGGAAGAAAGUUCUGGACUCCACAGUGGCUUGCUCCAGAAAAGCCAAACCAUCAGCUCUCUUGACAGCACAGAGAAUGCCAGUGUGUGGGAAACAGACCGCGGUCACCCUGAGCGGCAAGGGGCUUUCCAGUGCUUAGGCUCUGAAUGUGAAACAUUUUAGAAAGAGAUGAAACAAUUUUUUUCGCUUGUAUUUUCCUAUGUGUUUGAAGGUCGAUAGAUGAUAAAAAUGUGUCUGAAUAAGUCUGAUUUAGUCUCAAAGAUCUCUUUCAAUAAACCUAAACAUUUCAAACAGA